Molecule: ribosomal RNA, 496 nt
Filed under: uncultured bacterium
Lineage: Bacteria
Description: partial 16S ribosomal RNA
Rfam family: Bacterial small subunit ribosomal RNA
Source: RNAcentral
ACGAACGCUGGCGGCGUGCCUAAUACAUGCAAGUAGCACGCUGAAGAGAGGAGCUUGCUCUUCUUGGAUGAGUUGCGAACGGGUGAGUAACGCGUAGGUAACCAGCCUUGUAGCGGGGGAUAACUAUUGGAAACGAUAGCUAAUACCGCAUAACAAUGGAUGACACAUGUCAUUUAUUUGAAAGGGGCAAUUGCUCCACUACAAGAUGGACCUGCGUUGUAUUAGCUAGUAGGUGAGGUAAUGGCUCACCUAGGCGACGAUACAUAGCCGACCUGAGAGGGUGAUCGGCCACACUGGGACUGAGACACGGCCCAGACUCCUACGGGAGGCAGCAGUAGGGAAUCUUCGGCAAUGGGGGCAACCCUGACCGAGCAACGCCGCGUGAGUGAAGAAGGGUUUCGGAUCGUAAAGCUCUGUUGUAAGUCAAGAACGGGUGUGAGAGUGGAAAGUUCACACUGUGACGGUAGCUUACCAGAAAGGGACGGCUAACUACGUG